Hyla sarda is the source of this 419-nucleotide long non-coding RNA. RefSeq lists it as uncharacterized. The record is from RefSeq and is a predicted model, not a curated record. The transcript has 3 exons. Lineage: Eukaryota; Metazoa; Chordata; Amphibia; Anura; Hylidae.
AUCAGAGGGAGUGCACACAAAGAGCAGGAGAUGAGGAAGAGGACAAGAGGACACAGGAGAGGUGAUUGAUGCCCCGUGAGAAGGUGAACGUGACAUAAACCCUCGUCAGCUGCAAAAAAGGAACCGCGAGACAGAAUAGCAUGCAGAUUACCGGCAUCGCUCUUGGAAUCACUGCCGCACAGAAGCACAAUGACAGAGCCUGGUGGUGGCAUCAGUGUCUGGAGACCAUAUAGUGACUGAAUGACAUAGCGUGGAGGUGUUGGCAGCAUGAGGACACCAUAUAGUGGAUGAAUGGCACAGCGUGGAGGUGUUGGCAGCAUGAGGACACCAUAUAGUGGAUGAAUGGCACAGCGUGGAGGUGUUGGCAGCAUGAGGACACCAUAUAGUGGCUGCAUGGCACAGCGUGGAGGUGUUGGCAG